This 1373-nucleotide ribosomal RNA is filed under the name uncultured bacterium. Its description in RNAcentral is "bacterial SSU rRNA". It matches the Rfam family "Bacterial small subunit ribosomal RNA", at positions 28 to 1381 of the family's 1533-position model. The record is from RNAcentral.
GAUGAACGCUGGCGGCGUGCCUAAUACAUGCAAGUCGAGCGAACGGACGAGAAGCUUGCUUCUCUGAUGUUAGCGGCGGACGGGUGAGUAACACGUGGAUAACCUACCUAUAAGACUGGGAUAACUUCGGGAAACCGGAGCUAAUACCGGAUAAUAUUUUGAACCGCAUGGUUCAAAAGUGAAAGACGGUCUUGCUGUCACUUAUAGAUGGAUCCGCGCUGCAUUAGCUAGUUGGUAAGGUAACGGCUUACCAAGGCAACGAUGCAUAGCCGACCUGAGAGGGUGAUCGGCCACACUGGAACUGAGACACGGUCCAGACUCCUACGGGAGGCAGCAGUAGGGAAUCUUCCGCAAUGGGCGAAAGCCUGACGGAGCAACGCCGCGUGAGUGAUGAAGGUCUUCGGAUCGUAAAACUCUGUUAUUAGGGAAGAACAUAUGUGUAAGUAACUGUGCACAUCUUGACGGUACCUAAUCAGAAAGCCACGGCUAACUACGUGCCAGCAGCCGCGGUAAUACGUAGGUGGCAAGCGUUAUCCGGAAUUAUUGGGCGUAAAGCGCGCGUAGGCGGUUUUUUAAGUCUGAUGUGAAAGCCCACGGCUCAACCGUGGAGGGUCAUUGGAAACGUGGAAAACUUGAGUGCAGAAGAGGAAAGUGGGAUUCCAUGUGUAGCGGUGAAAUGCGCAGAGAUAUGGAGGAACACCAGUGGCGAAGGCGACUUUCUGGUCUGUAACUGACGCUGAUGUGCGAAAGCGUGGGGAUCAAACAGGAUUAGAUACCCUGGUAGUCCACGCCGUAAACGAUGAGUGCUAAGUGUUAGGGGGUUUCCGCCCCUUAGUGCUGCAGCUAACGCAUUAAGCACUCCGCCUGGGGAGUACGACCGCAAGGUUGAGACUCAAAGGAAUUGACGGGGACCCGCGCAAGCGGUGGAGCAUGUGGUUUAAUUCGAAGCAACGCGAAGAACCUUACCAAAUCUUGACAUCCUUUGACAACUCUAGAGAUAGAGCCUUCCCCUUCGGGGGACAAAGUGACAGGUGGUGCAUGGUUGUCGUCAGCUCGUGUCGUGAGAUGUUGGGUUAAGUCCCGCAACGAGCGCAACCCUUAAGCUUAGUUGCCAUCAUUAAGUUGGGCACUCUAAGUUGACUGCCGGUGACAAACCGGAGGAAGGUGGGGAUGACGUCAAAUCAUCAUGCCCCUUAUGAUUUGGGCUACACACGUGCUACAAUGGACAAUACAAAGGGCAGCGAAACCGCGAGGUCAAGCAAAUCCCAUAAAGUUGUUCUCAGUUCGGAUUGUAGUCUGCAACUCGACUACAUGAAGCUGGAAUCGCUAGUAAUCGUAGAUCAGCAUGCUACGGUGAAUACGUUCCCGGGUCU